UCUCCGUUGGUGAACCAGCGGAGGGAUCAUUAUCGAGUUUAUAACUCCCAAACCCUAUGUGAACUUACCACUUGUUGCUUCGGCGCGCGCUUCGGGGCCGCCGAGGACACUUAAACUCUUUGUUUUUAUAAGCAUUUCUGAGUGGCCGAGAGGCAAAAUACAAAUGAAUCAAAACUUUCAACAACGGAUCUCUUGGUUCUG
RNAcentral lists this unclassified non-coding RNA (201 nucleotides) under plant metagenome. RNAcentral describes it as "partial contains small subunit ribosomal RNA, internal transcribed spacer 1, and 5.8S ribosomal RNA". The record is from RNAcentral.